UGGAAGUCAGCAGGAUUGUAGAAGCAGA
Molecule: non-coding RNA, 28 nt
Filed under: Mus musculus (house mouse)
Lineage: Eukaryota; Metazoa; Chordata; Mammalia; Rodentia; Muridae
Source: RNAcentral